RNAcentral lists this ribosomal RNA (391 nucleotides) under uncultured prokaryote. Its description in RNAcentral is "partial 16S ribosomal RNA". The record is from RNAcentral.
CCCUAUGGGGCGCAAAAAUCGCAUCAGGCGGUCCCGGAGAAUCGACAGCAAGUGGCUCCACUACCCUACGAGGCGGGUCAGCGGGAUAUUUCACAGGAAACGGCACGGCUGGCGGCUAUCUUGGGGGAGUACUACCCACGCUUUUCCUUACCGGCAAACCGGAUGCUGUAGUGGCAACUGUUGGCAAGGAAGUAGGUAGUCCGGGGAUAUUGCCGCCAGGAAUGCCAAUAGGUUUGAUUGAUCUUUUUUUACAUCCUAUGGUUGGUGGUCCUGGUGGAGAUAUCCAAACUGCUACGUCAGGCGUUAGCGUAACAGGUGGAACUGGUUCUGUUUAUGGGAAAGGUGGCGCCGCCACCUCAACGAGUAAUGGAAAUGGAAUGGGCGGGAGGGC